Molecule: ribosomal RNA, 465 nt
Filed under: uncultured bacterium
Lineage: Bacteria
Description: partial 16S ribosomal RNA
Rfam family: Bacterial small subunit ribosomal RNA
Source: RNAcentral
CCUACGGGAGGCUGCAGUAGGGAAUCUUCCACAAUGGGCGCAAGCCUGAUGGAGCAACGCCGCGUGGGUGAAGAAGGUCUUCGGAUCGUAAAACUCUGUUGUUAGAGAAGAAAGUGCGUGAGCGUAACUGUUCACGUAUCGACGGUAUCAAACCAGAAAGCCACGGCUAACUACGUGCCAGCAGCCGCGGUAAUACGUAGGUGGCAAGCGUUAUCCGGUUUUAUUGGGCGUAAAGGGAACGGAGGCGGUCUUUUAAGUCGAAUGUGAAAGCCUUCGGCUUAACCGGAAUAGUGCAUUUGAAACUGGGAGACUUGAGUGCAGUAGAGGAGGGUGGAACUCGAUGUGUAGCGGUGAAAUGCGUAGAUAUAUGGAAGAACACCAGUGGCGAAGGCGGCUCUCUAGUCUGUAACUGACACUGAGGUUCGAAAGCGUGGGUAGCAAACAGGAUUAGAUACCCGUGUAGUC